This is a long non-coding RNA of Passer domesticus (house sparrow), 375 nucleotides long. RefSeq lists it as uncharacterized. NCBI's taxonomy places the organism in Eukaryota, Metazoa, Chordata, Aves, Passeriformes, Passeridae. The record is from RefSeq and is a predicted model, not a curated record. The transcript has 3 exons.
GCCGCCUCUCCGGGCUACCUGUCUCGUCUUGUUGUAGCCGCUUCUAACGAGCAGGCAGCGUACUGGAGCAUGCAGAAAUCCUGCUUUUUGAAGCACCCUGAAAACAGCCUUGUGUUUUUCUGUACCUUGGUGGCCCAGAAGGACUUGUCAGGAAGCAAGCACCACAUAGUGCCAGAUCACAUCAGGCUCUAAGAUACCUGAGGACUAUUUGUUUGCAGACUGUUGGAAGACAGAGACGGAAUCACCUAUUGACAUACCAGGAGCUUAGUGAGCAACUGAACUUCCUCACCAGCUACAGAUCUUCAUGUGAUCAUCAAAAUCAUCAGCAAAGUAGGUAACAGUAAUAUUUUAGUUUCACAAGGAUACAUACUUAAA